GGGGGCGUAAAGGUUUCGACGGGGAUCUUGAGGCUUUGUAAGCGAGCAGAAGCGUGCGACUUCUUUAAAACGCAUAAUUUUUAAAAAUAAACGCUAACAAUAAUUUAGCUAUCGCUGCCUAAUUGAUGGCGGCCGUCAUACCGAAGAGUACUGCGGCUUCGGUCAUGGCGUCACUUAGCAGUGCACAUGAACACGGUCAAGCUUUGCCCCGUGUCAGGUAUUAAUGAAGCUACCACUGUUUUCAGCGCGACGGUUCGCAGUUAACAGCGGGAAAUCAAUAAGCCGUAUACGCUCGUAGAAAGCGGAGCGGAUGGGUUUUCGGACAGGGGUUCGAUUCCCCUCGCCUCCACCA
RNAcentral lists this transfer-messenger RNA (352 nucleotides) under Eubacteriales. Its description in RNAcentral is "SFLA01 sp017646185 Standard tmRNA". It matches the Rfam family "transfer-messenger RNA". From Rfam's summary of the family: Bacterial tmRNA, also known as 10Sa RNA or SsrA, is named for its dual tRNA and mRNA-like properties. Its role is to liberate the mRNA from a stalled ribosome. Lineage: Bacteria; Bacillati; Bacillota; Clostridia. RNAcentral also lists the same sequence under 1 other name. The record is from RNAcentral.